CCGGAGCUGAACAAGUCCAUUUAUUGGGCAACGUUUACUCCUGGCUUCCCCUCCCACCGAUGCUCUGUGAGGCCUUUUUGUAAACAUAGAGGCUCUUACCCACACAGAAUGGAGAUGAAGGGAACACGGAUAUUUUGCUCUAGUCCAUGGCGUCAGUCUGCUUAUAAAGGCAUUUCUACGGAAGACAGAAUGUCAUUGUCAAAUUCUAAAUCUUGGGACUGGGGUGGAUACCACCUCUGGAGAUUAAAGAGCCUGUGCUUGUUCAGGGGGGUCUCUGCGGUCUGUUGGGCAGUUGUGCGUCUGUACCUCAGUGACCAUGGUGUGGUGGAAGGAACGGGAGCAGAAGGCAGUGGCAGAACGUGUGCAGUGUGA
This 372-nucleotide long non-coding RNA is filed under the name Ursus americanus (American black bear). Its description in RNAcentral is "lncRNA (ENSUAMG00000008956.1)". Lineage: Eukaryota; Metazoa; Chordata; Mammalia; Carnivora; Ursidae. The record is from RNAcentral.